This 879-nucleotide ribosomal RNA is filed under the name uncultured bacterium. RNAcentral's name for it is "bacterial SSU rRNA". It matches the Rfam family "Bacterial small subunit ribosomal RNA", at positions 52 to 946 of the family's 1533-position model. The record is from RNAcentral.
CACAUGCAAGUCGAGCGGUAAGGCCCUUCGGGGUACACGAGCGGCGAACGGGUGAGUAACACGUGGGUGAUCUGCCUCGCACUUCGGGAUAAGCCUGGGAAACUGGGUCUAAUACCGGAUAUGACCUGGAACUGCAUGGUUUCGGGUGGAAAGAUUUAUCGGUGCGAGAUGGGCCCGCGGCCUAUCAGCUUGUUGGUGGGGUAAUGGCCUACCAAGGCGACGACGGGUAGCCGGCCUGAGAGGGCGACCGGCCACACUGGGACUGAGACACGGCCCAGACUCCUACGGGAGGCAGCAGUGGGGAAUAUUGCACAAUGGGCGAAAGCCUGAUGCAGCGACGCCGCGUGAGGGAUGACGGCCUUCGGGUUGUAAACCUCUUUCGACAGGGACGAAGCGCAAGUGACGGUACCUGUAGAAGAAGCACCGGCCAACUACGUGCCAGCAGCCGCGGUAAUACGUAGGGUGCGAGCGUUGUCCGGAAUUACUGGGCGUAAAGAGCUUGUAGGCGGUCUGUCACGUCUUCUGUGAAAACUCACAGCUCAACUGUGAGCUUGCAGGCGAUACGGGCAGACUAGAGUACUUCAGGGGAGACUGGAAUUCCUGGUGUAGCGGUGAAAUGCGCAGAUAUCAGGAGGAACACCGGUGGCGAAGGCGGGUCUCUGGGAAGUAACUGACGCUGAGAAGCGAAAGCGUGGGUAGCGAACAGGAUUAGAUACCCUGGUAGUCCACGCCGUAAACGGUGGGUACUAGGUGUGGGUUUCCUUCCACGGGAUCCGUGCCGUAGCUAACGCAUUAAGUACCCCGCCUGGGGAGUACGGCCGCAAGGCUAAAACUCAAAGGAAUUGACGGGGGCCCGCACAAGCGGCGGAGCAUGUGGAU